UGUUUUGUAAAAAUGGUUAGGGGUGUUAGGCUUCCGACUCAGAGGUUCUGGGUUCGAUUCCCAGGCAGGGCAC
Non-coding RNA from Albula glossodonta (roundjaw bonefish), 73 nucleotides. NCBI's taxonomy places the organism in Eukaryota, Metazoa, Chordata, Actinopteri, Albuliformes, Albulidae. The record is from the annotation of a GenBank genome assembly.